RNAcentral lists this ribosomal RNA (253 nucleotides) under uncultured bacterium. Its description in RNAcentral is "partial 16S ribosomal RNA". It matches the Rfam family "Bacterial small subunit ribosomal RNA", at positions 524 to 776 of the family's 1533-position model. The record is from RNAcentral.
UACGUAGGGGGCAAGCGUUGUCCGGAAUCAUUGGGCGUAAAGAGCGUGUAGGCGGCUUGGUAGGUCCGCUGUGAAAGUCCAGGGCUCAACCCUGGAAUGCCGGUGGAAACUGUCAAGCUUGAGUCCGGAAGAGGCGAGUGGAAUUCCUGGUGUAGCGGUGAAAUGCGCAGAUAUCAGGAGGAACACCAAUGGCGAAGGCAGCUCGCUGGGACGGUACUGACGCUGAGACGCGAAAGCGUGGGGAGCAAACAGG